AAUAAUAUCCUUACCAGGUUGAAACACUGGUAAAGUUUCCAAUUUUAUUUCCAUUGCCCUUUUAAAUAUGUUUUCUUUAAUAAUUUUUUCUUGCUCUUUUUUCAGACCAUGAAAAAUCUAGUUUACAUAGCUGAAGUUUUAAAAGAUGUCCAAGAAAUGGACGGGGAAGUAAAAGUCUCGCUAAUUUGGCUUGUCAGGAAACUGAGGCAGCGAAUCAAUAUGGAACUAGCCAGAGCUCCCUUGAACACGACAAUUAGGACAAUGGUCUUCAAUUGGUUUGCGGCAUUAGCCCUCAAAUUCUCGAAAGAUGAGCUGCGUCGAUAAUAUUUCAUGCUCUUGCUCCGAUCGUCCGUGAGCUGACUACGACCGAAACCCACUUGGAAGAGUUACGCGGCAUUGCCAAAGAGGUCUCUGGAUAUUACAAGCAGAAAUUUGGACUUCAAGAGUAUUCGCAGUUGGUCCACAAAGUCCAGAAUCGGUUAGACAUCAAACGUGCUGAGAGAAAGAAAUCUCGCGCUCAAGAGGUAAAAUCUAUUCAUUUUCGAUUUUUGUAAUUUUUGACGUUUCUGGUCAUCAAUUCCAUUAAUUUGUUGAUAUUUUGGUGGUAAAAAAUGUCUACAAUAGAAAAGAAGUCUAAUUAAUUUUCUUGCAGCUUUACAAUUUUUGCUUCCUGAAAUCUUUCUGAAAAGCUUUCUUGAACAUCAAAAUCAAGUUUGACCUGUGAAAAAUGAUCUGUGAUCCUUUAUUGGCUGAAGAGGUGUGUCAAAACCUUUCUCGAGGAAAAACACGCCAACUCUAUAGCUUGACAUUUUUAUAGAAUAUUCUGCUGAUGGAGAACAAAAAUCAAGGAAGUUUUUGAGAAAUUGUGUCAUCUAAUUAUCGAAGGAAACAAUUGAGUAUGACAAGAAGUCUGCUACGUCACAAACGGCAAUACAUGGUUCUGCACUUUAGUCAUAGGUUUUUGUUGUUAUUUAAAUUAAAGAGCUGUCCAGAAUCUAUUGGCAAAGAACUAUAUAUUUUAAAAUUUUGGUUUGAAUUAUUAGAUCAUAUUGUCUCAAAUCAUCAACAAUACUGACCAUUGGAAUAAUUUCCAAUGCAUUUUCUAGUUGACUUCCUAGUGUUUCCAGUGGCAAUGCGUGUAUGAUCGAUUAUCGAUGUUUCCCCAUUUUGAGCUAUAUUAAACAAUCGAUUAUUAAGGUGUUGGUUGCAAACACCCGGUCAAUCAAUCCUUUUCCAUAGGUUUAAAUGGCAGAUCAAUCGAUAUAUUGCAAAGCAUGCUACGCCACGCCCUGAGUGUUUCAUAUUCUUCUAAUUGUUCUAAUCUUCAUCCAGGUCAUCAAGAAUCCAGAGAAAGCAGCCAAGAGGAAAAUCAAGAAACAACUGAGGACCAAAGAUCAGAAAAAACGAAGAAUAGAGCAAUUUAAAUCUGGAGAUCGCAAAAGGAAGAUACAGUCUGUUGAAUUUACCGAUUAAUGACUCGCUGUCUUUAGAACUAAUUUUUGGCUGUGAUUUUAUUAAGUUAAGAAGUGCCUCCUAAUGAUUGAAUGAAUUCUUCUUGGUUUGUGGUGUGCAUAGAUUUGUUUUUCAAUAAUCUUUAUCGCGCUGAUAUGGGAGGAAGCAUGUCUUACUUUCAAAGAGCUUUCUUCGCUGUUAAGCUUUUGAUCAAAAUGUAUAAAAACUAAGGCAGAUUUAAGGUCAAAAUAGAAUUUAAUAAUUUUUCUUUUAAACUGCUCAACUACAGUAGUGUAAAAGGGCAUUGAGACAGGCCAAUCUUUUUUGAAUUUUAAAAGUUUGCUUGAUUAAAUUUAGCUUAGGUGUACUUGGGAAUUAUCGUCUUCGUAAAUAAAAAAUGCUAACUCAGCAGUUUUUUAAUUAGUUGUAUUCUGUUACAAGUUUUAUGAGUCUUUCAAAAAGUUAUAUAGCUGCGUAAUAUUUACGCACUUAAUUUAAAAAAAAAUCAUUCAAGCAUGACCUUGAUGGUUUUAAAAACUUGACACUAUAUUCCUCUGUUUUCUUUUCUCGGGACUACCUGAGUACAUAUCAUAUGCUUAAUACGAAGAUAUUCAGGUUACCAAUUUUGUAUAGCUAACUCUAAAGGCCCCCGCCAUUUUGAGAAUAACAGCUGACAUAUUAGCUUUAUACACGGGGUGUAAGAGAGAUAGAGAGCUGAAAAGAGAAGUGGGGUUCUUCCCCACUUACCCCAAAAUGUUUUAAAAAAUCACGAAAAAGACCAGAACUUUUUCCUCUCGCCUGAUUUUCGUUUAUCAUAUGAUUAUUUUCAUCCCUCAAAAGAGGUCCCAAAAAAUCAAAUUUUCAAGAGCAAAAUGAAAGACUUUGAAGUUAAGUCCGGGACUCUCUCUGAUAGUGGUUCCACCUCACAUGUCUGUUACUGAAUGGACAGCGUUUAACAGAAAAGAAUCAAGCCACAUCAGCUAUUGCCAAAUUUACCUGGGCGAUUUAACUUUUUACAAGAGAACGUUUGUUUGGAUUCCUUUGAAAAUUUGAAGGAAUUUACUUCGUAAUAUGGAGAAAAUCCACUGAAAUUUGCACGAAAAUCCGCACAACGGUUCUCAUGUAAAAAAUGUAAUUGCCCAAUUAAAUUUGGCAAUAGCUGAUGUGGCUUGGUUCCUUUCUGUUUAACGCGGUCCAAAUGAUCAAUCCUAAAAUCAAGAGAUUUUUUUAUUUUUGUAGUAAACUUCUGUAAAAGUUAGCAAUGUUUAAUUUAGAAACAAGCCCUCAAUAAAGUCAGUGCAUAGUAAUUUUAUGAUGAAAAAGAAGGAGUAAAAUUGAUAAUGUUUUAUUACUCUCAUAUAUAUACAACAAACAAGUAACAUAUGGUAAUAUCUACAAUAUCAUGAAAUAUCGAAAGAAUAGUAAGAAACUAGGUUGUGCUUUUCAAAGCCAAGGCAAAGAAAUGAAACGAGAAACAGCUACAAACUAACCUGAGCUAUUGAAGGUGGUUUCAGACUAAAAUGACAAGCAGUUGGACGUAUUUAUGCUAAAAGGAACUAUGCUACAUGCAAUCCCUAUGCACAUAGUUCCUUUUAGCGUAAAUAUGUUCAGUUGAGAGAAGUGGGCAACUCAAGGCCCUUUAAAGGAUAGAUGACAACAAGAUAGAAUAUGAGUUAUACACUUUAACUGUUACUAGGUAUCCUGUUAUUACGUCAACAAGAUAAGAAUCUCAUGAAAUUUUCCUUAUUAAAUUGAUCCUUUGAAUU
Molecule: long non-coding RNA, 3218 nt
Filed under: Bemisia tabaci
Lineage: Eukaryota; Metazoa; Arthropoda; Insecta; Hemiptera; Aleyrodidae
Description: lncRNA ENSSSA3NGG010531
Source: RNAcentral